Long non-coding RNA from Triticum aestivum (bread wheat), 425 nucleotides. RefSeq lists it as uncharacterized. The record is from RefSeq and is a predicted model, not a curated record. The transcript has 2 exons. Lineage: Eukaryota; Viridiplantae; Streptophyta; Magnoliopsida; Poales; Poaceae.
GGUGCUGAUUUGUGGGAUUGCUUUGACAUUAGAAGUUGGCUUUAUCCGAAGACUUUGUGUUCAAUUGCUUGGUGCCUUUUGAUUCAUCUGUCAUUGAGAAGUUUGCACUCAGAGUAAGAAAGCCAGCAUCAAGUUGUGGUACAUGAUGUCGAGGAAGGAGUGGAGAAAAGACCGGAGUAGGAUGUGAUUGUUGCUUUGCGGCCCAUCUUGUUCGAAAGUAUCCCUGCGUUGGACAUGGCAACUUAUAAUCCAGAAAUUUUUAUAGUGCACAAACUUGACGAUGUAUCAAUAACUCUUGUAAUGAUUGCUUUUAUUUCCGCACAUGAAAACGGCUUAGGCCAAUGCUCGAUCAUCGUGAAAUGCAGACUGAUAUCUUAAGCUUGAUGAAGUGAUGGAUAAGUUGUAGUAAUAUUUUUAAAAUUCUA